Molecule: small nucleolar RNA, 101 nt
Filed under: Homo sapiens (human)
Lineage: Eukaryota; Metazoa; Chordata; Mammalia; Primates; Hominidae
Description: small nucleolar RNA, C/D box 127 (SNORD127)
Rfam family: Small nucleolar RNA SNORD127 (bases 9-94)
Source: RNAcentral
UUUCACUGUGGCAACUGUGAUGAAAGAUUUGGUCUGUAUGUAAUAGAUUUUAUUACUAAAUGAGGACAACAGUCCCUCUAAACUGAUGUUGCCAUUUAAAA